This 301-nucleotide ribosomal RNA is filed under the name uncultured bacterium. Its description in RNAcentral is "partial 16S ribosomal RNA". It matches the Rfam family "Bacterial small subunit ribosomal RNA", at positions 509 to 807 of the family's 1533-position model. The record is from RNAcentral.
CAGUCGCCGCGGUAAUACAGAGGGUGCAAGCGUUAAUCGGAAUUACUGGGCGUAAAGCGCGCGUAGGUGGUUUGUUAAGUUGGAUGUGAAAUCCCCGGGCUCAACCUGGGAACUGCAUUGGUGACUGCAACGCUGGAGUGCGGCAGAGGGGGAUGGAAUUCCGCGUGUAGCAGUGAAAUGCGUAGAUAUGCGGAGGAACACCGAUGGCGAAGGCGAUCCCCUGGGCCUGCACUGACGCUCAUGCACGAAAGCGUGGGGAGCAAACAGGAUUAGAUACCCCCGUAGUCCCUGUCUCUUAUAC